RNAcentral lists this unclassified non-coding RNA (1661 nucleotides) under Hevea brasiliensis (rubber tree). The record is from RNAcentral. Lineage: Eukaryota; Viridiplantae; Streptophyta; Magnoliopsida; Malpighiales; Euphorbiaceae.
AGCUCUUGUGGGUGAAGGAAAAUCUCCAAGAAUCCUGGUCGAUGGCAUUUAGAUGGAUGGAUCUAAGUGAUUGGUUAACAUACAAAGCAACAGGAGAUGACACGAGGAGUUUAUGCACCACUGUAUGCAAAUGGACAUAUCUAGGCCAUGCGCACAUGCAGCAGAUAAAUGAGAAAGAUUCCGGUGCUAUGGAAUCUUGUGGAUGGGAUGAUGGAUUCUGGGAGGAGAUUGGUUUAGGUGAUCUUGUUGAUGGGCAUCAUGCUAAGAUAGGGCGAAGUGUAGCAUUCCCCGGUCAUGCAUUGGGUUCGGGUUUAACACCACAUGCUGCAAAGGAAUUGGGUCUGAUGGCAGGGACACCAGUAGGUACUGCUCUGAUAGAUGCUCAUGCUGGCGGUGUAGGUGUAAUGGAAAGUGUGCCUGCAUCAGAUUCUGAAUCUAUAGUUGAUGAGGAUGCUAUAAGUAGGCGUAUGGUGCUUGUAUGUGGUACUUCCACAUGCCAUAUGGCUGUAUCCAGGACAAAAUUAUUCAUACCUGGAGUCUGGGGACCUUUUUGGUCAGCGAUGGUGCCCGAGUACUGGCUUACUGAAGGAGGACAGAGUGCUACUGGUUCAUUGCUAGACCAUAUAAUUGAGAAUCAUGUUGCAUCUCCUCAUCUUGCAAAUCGUGCUGCAUCUCGAAGAAUCUCAAUAUUUGAUUUGUUGAAUGAGAUACUGGAAUCAAUGAAGAAAGAUGAGGACUCACCAUUUAUAGCUGCAUUGACUAGUGAUAUGCAUAUUCUCCCAGAUUUUCAUGGUAACAGGUCCCCUAUUGCAGAUCCAAAGUCAAAAGGUAUGAUUUCUGGUUUAACACUUGAUACUAGUGAAAAGCAGCUGGCACUUCUCUACCUUGCCACAGUACAGGGCAUUGCAUAUGGAACCCGCCAUAUAGUAGAGCACUGCAAUACUAAUGGACACAAGAUUGACACACUACUUGCCUGUGGUGGGCUUGCAAAGAAUCGUCUAUUUGUUCAAGAGCAUGCAGAUAUUAUUGGUUACCCUAUCAUUCUCCCUCGCGAAAAUGAAUCUGUGCUAUUGGGGUCUGCUAUUCUUGGUGCUGUUGCUUCAAAGAAAUAUUCUACUGUUCGUGACGCCAUGAAGGCAAUGAAUGCAGCUGGUCAGGUUGUUCAUCCGUCUCAAGACAUGAAAGUGAAGAAGUACCACGAUGCCAAAUACAGCAUCUUCCGCGACCUUUAUGAGCAGCAACAGAAGCAUCGUUCACUUAUGGCCGAGGCUCUGUCAUGAGUUGUUUUCUUCAUUGUUGUCGCGCCUUUUGGUAUACAAGUUACUACAAACCAUGUCACCCAGGAACGAAGGAAAACGCGACACCAGUUCCUAGUCCCCCUCCUCUCCCUUUCUGCAUUUCUUUGAACCACAUUAUGUAGUGUAUAAAAUGUCAUUUGAAAAUGUUCACCUAUUCAACUAUUAUCACCUGUACAGUUGAAUUUUGUUUGACUUGUUCAUAUCAUAUGAACAAUUAUUACGUUGAUGGUGUGUAUAACUUAAACUCAUUUCACCUAUUUAACUAUUAUCACCUGUACAGUUGAAUUUUGUUUGACUUGUUCAUAUCAUAUGAACAAUUAUUACGUUGAUGGUGUGUAUAACUUAAACUCAUUUCACCUAUUU